Molecule: transfer RNA, 71 nt
Filed under: Uroplatus phantasticus
Lineage: Eukaryota; Metazoa; Chordata; Lepidosauria; Squamata; Gekkonidae
Description: tRNA-His
Rfam family: tRNA
About the family: Transfer RNA (tRNA) molecules are approximately 80 nucleotides in length. Their secondary structure includes four short double-helical elements and three loops (D, anti-codon, and T loops). Further hydrogen bonds mediate the characteristic L-shaped molecular structure. tRNAs have two regions of fundamental functional importance: the anti-codon, which is responsible for specific mRNA codon recognition, and the 3' end, to which the tRNAs corresponding amino acid is attached (by aminoacyl-tRNA synthetases). tRNAs cope with the degeneracy of the genetic code in two manners: having more than one tRNA (with a specific anti-codon) for a particular amino acid; and 'wobble' base-pairing, i.e. permitting non-standard base-pairing at the 3rd anti-codon position.
Source: RNAcentral
CAUGGUAGACGUAGUUUAUGUAAAACACUAGAUUGUGACUCUAGUAAAAAGAAUUCGCUUCUUAGUCCACC